UACACACAAGCACAAACAGGUAGGAUAGUAGUUCUGAUACACACAGACAUACAAACACAAACAGGUAGGAUGGUACUUCUCACACACACACACACACACACACACACACACACACACACACACACACACACACACACACAGGUAGGCAUAUAGUUCUCAUACAUACAGACACACACACACAAACACGUAGGCUAUAGUAGUCAUACACACACUUUUAGAAAUCUUAUUUUUAGUCUCCUAAUAGUU
Long non-coding RNA from Gadus macrocephalus (Pacific cod), 246 nucleotides. RefSeq lists it as uncharacterized. The transcript has 2 exons. The record is from RefSeq and is a predicted model, not a curated record. NCBI's taxonomy places the organism in Eukaryota, Metazoa, Chordata, Actinopteri, Gadiformes, Gadidae.